Molecule: ribosomal RNA, 465 nt
Filed under: uncultured bacterium
Lineage: Bacteria
Description: partial 16S ribosomal RNA
Rfam family: Bacterial small subunit ribosomal RNA
Source: RNAcentral
GACGAACGCUGGCGGCGUGCUUAACACAUGCAAGUCGAACGGAAAGGCCCCUUUGGGGGUACUCGAGUGGCGCACGGGUGAGUAACACGUGAGUAACCUGCCCUUGACUUCGGGAUAACUUCAGGAAACUGGGGCUAAUACCGGAUAGGAAUCCUUGCUGCAUGGUGGGGGUUGGAAAGCUUCGGCGGGUUUGGAUGGACUCGCGGCUUAUCAGCUUGUUGGUGGGGUAGUGGCUUACCAAGGCUUUGACGGGUAGCCGGCCUGAGAGGGCGACCGGCCACAUUGGGACUGAGAUACGGCCCAGACUCCUACGGGAGGCAGCAGUGGGGAAUAUUGCACAAUGGGCGGAAGCCUGAUGCAGCAACGCCGCGUGCGGGAUGACGGCCUUCGGGUUGUAAACCGCUUUCAGCAGGGGCGAAGCUUGUGGUGACGGUACCUGCAGAAGAAGCACCGGCUAACUACGUG